AUCCGGAUCGGAAUCGGGUGAAUCGGUCAGAAUAAAACUUCAAAAAAAUCCGAAAAAAUUAUUAAAAUUCAUUAUAAAUAUUGGUUUUUAGGAAUUCAAUAAAAAAUGAGGGUACUCCAUUAAGAAUUUUCAUGUUUUUGAAUGAAUAUGCAAAUAUUGAUAUGUUCUUUCCCUGCAUGAACCGCCGUUCAGCAUUUAAUUUACAGUAUUUCGUGCUCAUCCCUACACUGUUGCUGUUGGGACUCGAUAUGUGAAUAAUAUGGUUGGGAUAGGGUGGCCUCGGAAUCA
RNAcentral lists this long non-coding RNA (288 nucleotides) under Amborella trichopoda. Its description in RNAcentral is "long non-coding RNA (ATRI_LNC002017)". Lineage: Eukaryota; Viridiplantae; Streptophyta; Magnoliopsida; Amborellales; Amborellaceae. The record is from RNAcentral.